Long non-coding RNA from Anthonomus grandis grandis, 701 nucleotides. RefSeq lists it as uncharacterized. The record is from RefSeq and is a predicted model, not a curated record. Lineage: Eukaryota; Metazoa; Arthropoda; Insecta; Coleoptera; Curculionidae. The transcript is spliced from 2 exons.
CAAAAUUAUUUUAAAAAUCGUUAGUUCUUAAAUUGCUAAAAAUUUUUUAGAGGAUGUUAAAAAAAAUACCAAAAAAGUAAAAGUGAUUGUGACUCCAGAAAUAUUUUUUAGAUUUUUUCCAAUAAAUUAGGCGAAAGAUGUUUCCUUUGGUGGAAAUAAGUUGGUGACACGUGUGAUGUUUCUUCUGCUACUGUGAAAAGGGUACUCAAAAAACAUAAAUUUUAUCCAUAUAAAAUUGAAAUGGUUCAUCAAUUGAAAGAAAAUGAUGCUGAUCGACGUAUGGAAUUCUGCGAAGUAAUGACCGAGAGAAUAGGACGCCAGCCUGCUGCUUAUGUGAAGAACAUUUGUUUUAGUGAUGAAUGUGCGAGCGACGUAAAUCCCUACAUAUUUCGUGAAAUAUACCCAGAAAAAAUAAAUGUGUGGGCUGGCAUAUUAAGGAAUCACAUUGUUGGGCCUCUCUUUUUAGACCAAAAUUUAACAGGGGACCUUUACUUAAACGUGUUGAAAAAUGCAGUAGAACCACUAAUCCUUGAAAUUAUUGAAGAUAAUCCUCAUGAAUUUGGUUGGAAACAGUUUUUCAACAAGAUGGGGCACCGCCUUUUUUAACAUCUUUUGUAGUGAAAUAUUAACAUUUCUGUCUUAUCUAAAAAUUAGUUAUUUUAAAUCGUAAUAAAAAUGCGAAAAAUAAAAUUUUGAAAGCA